RNAcentral lists this long non-coding RNA (207 nucleotides) under Mytilus galloprovincialis (Mediterranean mussel). The record is from RNAcentral. Lineage: Eukaryota; Metazoa; Mollusca; Bivalvia; Mytilida; Mytilidae.
UAAAAUUCUGUCCGCAGUGAAAAAGGGUCUUCAGAAAUACUGUGAAACUGUUUACUCGCUUAGUGGUAUUAACCAUAUGUGGAUUCUAAAGAACAACUAGACAAUUUUAAAUCACGGUCUUUUUCUGAAAUUUAUUCUAUUAAAACUUUUGAUUUUUCAACCCUGUACAUCCCAUUCCCCAUGUGAAAUUGAAAAAUCGCCUAAAAG